RNAcentral lists this ribosomal RNA (301 nucleotides) under uncultured bacterium. RNAcentral describes it as "partial 16S ribosomal RNA". It matches the Rfam family "Bacterial small subunit ribosomal RNA", at positions 509 to 807 of the family's 1533-position model. The record is from RNAcentral.
CAGCAGCCACGGUAAUACGGAGGGUGCGAGCGUUAAUCGGAAUAACUGGGCGUAAAGGGCACGCAGGCGGUUAUUUAAGUGAGGUGUGAAAGCCCCGGGCUUAACCUGGGAAUUGCAUUUCAGACUGGGUAACUAGAGUACUUUAGGGAGGGGUAGAAUUCCACGUGUAGCGGUGAAAUGCGUAGAGAUGUGGAGGAAUACCGAAGGCGAAGGCAGCCCCUUGGGAAUGUACUGACGCUCAUGUGCGAAAGCGUGGGGAGCAAACAGGAUUAGAUACCCCAGUAGUCCCUGUCUCUUAUAC